This 448-nucleotide ribosomal RNA is filed under the name uncultured fungus. Its description in RNAcentral is "eukaryotic LSU rRNA". The record is from RNAcentral. Lineage: Eukaryota; Fungi.
GCAUAUCAAUAAGCGGAGGAUGUGGUGGAGCAUAUCAAUAAGCGGAGGAGCAUAUCAAUAAGCGGAGGAUGUGGUGGAGCAUAUCAAUAAGCGGAGGAGCAUAUCAAUAAGCGGAGGAUGUGGUGGAGCAUAUCAAUAAGCGGAGGAGGGGGGCAUAUCAAUAAGGGAGGAGCAUAUCAAUAAGCGGAGGAUGUGGUAGAGCAUAUCAAUAAGCGGAGGACGAUCCGUAGGUGAACCUGCGGAUCCGCGGUCCCUGCUGCAUAUCAAUAAGCGGAGGAGGGGGGCAUAUCAAUAAGCGGAAGAGCAUAUCAAUAAGCGGUCCGUAGGUGAACCUGCGGAAGGAUCAUUCAUAAUCAAGUAAGACUACCCGCUGAACUUAAGCAUAUCAAUAAGCGGAGGAGGAGGGCAUAUCAAUAAGCGGAGGAUCUUGGUCAUUUAGAGGAAGUAA